GAUGAACGCUGGCGGCGUGCCUAAUACAUGCAAGUCGAGCGAACAGACGAGGAGCUUGCUCCUCUGACGUUAGCGGCGGACGGGUGAGUAACACGUGGAUAACCUACCUAUAGGACUGGGAUAACUUCGGGAAACCGGAGCUAAUACCGGAUAAUAUAUUGAACCGCAUGAUUCAAUAGUGAAAGACGGUUUUGCUGUCACUUAUAGAUGGAUCCGCGCCGCAUUAGCUAGUUGGUAAGGUAACGGCUUACCAAGGCAACGAUGCGUAGCCGACCUGAGAGGGUGAUCGGCCACACUGGAACUGAGACACGGUCCAGACUCCUACGGGAGGCAGCAGUAGGGAAUCUUCCGCAAUGGGCGAAAGCUUGACGGAGCAACGCCGCGUGAGUGAUGAAGGUCUUCGGAUCGUAAAACUCUGUUAUUAGGGAAGAACAAAUGUGUAAGUAACUAUGCACGUCUUGACGGUACCUAAUCAGAAAGCCACGGCUAACUACGUG
RNAcentral lists this ribosomal RNA (497 nucleotides) under uncultured bacterium. RNAcentral describes it as "partial 16S ribosomal RNA". It matches the Rfam family "Bacterial small subunit ribosomal RNA", at positions 28 to 507 of the family's 1533-position model. The record is from RNAcentral.